GUCUGAUUGAUUUCUUUGUUUACAUUGUAGUAGGAACAGGAAAAUAAACUCCUUUGGGGAAGAAAUCUUUGAAUCCUUCACUUAUUAAAUAUUUGUUGAGCUUAAUUGCCAAACAGAACUAAGUAUGUAGUAGUGAAUGAAAAAGGUCCCUGCACUCACAGAUCUUCCACUUUAACCAUCCAGAGGCUAUAAGGAGCCUGCAAAGAAGACUGCCUUGGGCAGAAAAAGCCUUCUGAAGAGAUAAAAUUUGAGGUAAUCGGUUAGAAAUCAGCCUUGGAAAACAGAGCAGGAAGAGUAGCAAGCUCCAGACCUUACAGAGGAAGAGGAAUGAUUGUCACAGAGGUGAAAUAACAACCUCUGGGGCUUUGGAGGAUGAGGCCAGAGAAUUCUUUAUUAAUCUUUAUAGAAGCAGAGGACUUUGGCAGAAGUUCUGAGUUGAAGGAAGCUCCUUUAAAUCUCAUUGACCUUACAUUUGUUGCCUUCACUAUUCACCAUUACUUCUGCUGAAGUCUUCUAGUGGUAUGGUAACAAGGGGGUGUACCCUCAAAUAAUUUUCCAUGGGUGGAGGUAAAUUCUACCUACAUUCAGUUCUGAAACAAGGCUUAAUACUUGCUUUUGAUGAAAAUCAUUUGAUGAAUUGCACAGACACUAGGGGGUGCUGAGCAUUCAUUCAGACUGGGAUCCACAAUCUCACUGGACUUGCAAGAAGUUUAAGUAAGAUACCCACCAUCAGAC
Molecule: long non-coding RNA, 735 nt
Filed under: Marmota monax (woodchuck)
Lineage: Eukaryota; Metazoa; Chordata; Mammalia; Rodentia; Sciuridae
Source: RNAcentral